Molecule: unclassified non-coding RNA, 558 nt
Filed under: Hevea brasiliensis (rubber tree)
Lineage: Eukaryota; Viridiplantae; Streptophyta; Magnoliopsida; Malpighiales; Euphorbiaceae
Source: RNAcentral
CUCUUCUUCUUUCCUCUCUUUUUUGCCAUUCUUCUAGCCUAAAAUAAAGGUGUUAGUACCAGUUGGCACAAACUUUGCUUUUCACUUGAAAAAUAGUAGGAGUUUUGAUCUUCAAGUGCGAACUUUAUCAUUAAUUGUGACAAAAGGCAUCAUUAGAGAAAUUAUGUACCUGGGUUACCUGUAUCCUAAAGAACAUAUUCUCCUUCAUUUUGUGUGUGCGCACGCACACACAAUUUUAGAUACUCAAGAUGUCACAACAAUCAGUUAGGACCACUAUGAAGUUCAAAUAAGCUAAUUUCACAUGAUGAUCAAGAUUUCAGAUAUAAUUUCUUUUCAUUUCUGUGAUAAGCAACUCUACUGUUCAUUCAAUAUCAUAGAAUUGAAAAGCAGGUGACCAUCUAAAGACAUGCUUCCAUGUCAACAAGUUAAUGCAGCAUACGAAUCAAUAAGUUCCAGUCAAUCAAGUCUCGGAGACCUCGAUGGAGAUCGAAGACAAUAAAGUCAUGUAGUCAAUGAAAAUUAAAGAUCCUACCUAGUUAAAGAGCCUUUCAACUAUUA